UACUAAUUAUUUUAUUCUAGUUUCAGGCCGUCUCGUGAUCGCUCCACCAAGAUGUGCCAAAUAGGUGAAAGUCACCGUAUUUUCGUAUCGAUACCAUCACCAUCCGCGAGAACCCGAGAUCAACCGCUUUAGAACCGGUAUGACCUAGGUCACGACCAAUUAUGUGCUGUACUAAUUAUCUAAUUAUUAUGCAACUAACUUUAUUCUAAAUUUUAGGCCGGCUCUAGAGAUUCUGAGCCACUCCGAACCAGAGGAUAUCAGCGAGCGCGGCAGCACAGGGAACGGAUUGGCCUACCUCGCACCGGAAUUCCACGCUCCAUGAUUCGGUACUCGCCAAACUCGUUGCAGCCGUAGCAGCAGUACUAGCGACUCGUACGGACAUCUGUCGGAUAGUGCGCUGGGACCGGCGCUUUUGCCGGGUCUACCCGGACAUCACCUGCCUACAGCCAGCAUGUUCCCGCUUCACCAUCCGCUGCAGCUGGGACAUUCUUUGGCCAAGUCGCAGCAAAUCAACAACCUCCGUGUCCAACCACAAGCAAUUCUCUGCAGAAGACAUCCCGCGUCAUACGUGAACCAUCCCCGCACGUCCUAAUGCACAAGAGAAGUCCUUCGAACGGGUCGGCCAUGGUCACCUCAAAUCAUCAGCUAAGCCCAAUGUCAGUUUGAAGUUUGCUGCAAGGCAUACUCCCUGCUUGAGAAACUCAAAACCCUUCUGCGAUCACACACCGGCGAAAAGCCGUACACCGGCGAGUAUCCGGGUUGUAGCAAGGCGUUCAACAACGUGUCCGAUCAUGCAAAACACCAGAACCGCACCUAAAGCAUUGCGAAUCACUACCCGGAGGACAUGCAGAGUGGCAAGACAACGAGCAUGAGCAGUCGGAGCAUCAAGUCGGAGUCGGACGCACACUCGCCGAGUCAACCGCCGAUCAGUAGUCCGAUGUCGAUCUCGGCGCUUACUGCUAGGCUGAUGGACGAUUGCGAUUGCAGCUGGGCAGUCUUGAGGUUGAUCCGGCUUGGCUGUACGCGGACGAGGAUUUGGAGUCGCCGAUCUGCCAUUCGUCCUGCGAGAAAUUGUUGACCUCGGUGGUCUGGCCACAGCGACAGCUGGUGCUCACCUACCGGAAGUACUCGGAAUCGGUUCAAGAACCGAAUCAGGCACAACUCCGUCAUCGCCCCUCGACAAGAACAACUGCCAGACGACGGAUGGGAGUUUUACGACGUCUUCCGCAACACGAUGAUGUUGAACGCGUACCUGAACCCGGAUCAGCUACGGCGGGAUAGCAGCAACAGCACCACGAGCAGUUCUUACUUCAACAUGCGCUUGGCGGAUAUCAGCUGGCGGAGAAGCCAAGCAUCGCUACGGAGCUCGAUCUGGCCGAUGCGUCCUUGCAGCUACUCCAACUCGUCGUUCGACGAUCCGAUCCCAGCGGGAAGUUCGCAGCGGUCCAGUUCAAUGUCUGCGGCAAUGGAUGGAGGCCCGCCAGCAAGUUCCACCCCAACCAGUCGUGUUUGACGAGGUCGAAAAGGGUGAGAUUGCCAAAAAUAAGUUGGACGUAAAGAUUUCCAGCUGCAGUCGCCUGAUAAACCUGCUUCCUCGCCCCAGUUUCCACCUCGAAGGAAGUAAUCGGUAUAACGGUGAACAUCACCUUGGCGGCCGGGACAACCUCCAGCAGCAACGCUUGGUCCUUCUUCUGUUCAUUUAGGUCACGGUAACAGAAAAGGUCGGAUCUGCAGAUGAAUAAUAAAUAAAUAUAUUGAAUAUAUUGUA
Molecule: RNA transcript, 1768 nt
Organism: Culex quinquefasciatus (southern house mosquito)
Lineage: Eukaryota; Metazoa; Arthropoda; Insecta; Diptera; Culicidae
Gene name: protein cubitus interruptus
Exons: 5
Source: RefSeq, a predicted model, not a curated record